GACGAACGCUGGCGGCGUGCUUAACACAUGCAAGUCGAACGAAAAGGCCCUGCUUUUGUGGGGUGCUCGAGUGGCGAACGGGUGAGUAACACGUGAGUAACCUGCCCUUGACUGUGGGAUAACUUCAGGAAACUGGGGCUAAUACCGGAUAGGAGCUCCUGCUGCAUGGUGGGGGUUGGAUAGUUUCGGCGGUUGGGGAUGGACUCGCGGCUUAUCAGCUCGUUGGUGGGGUAGUGGCUUACCAAGGCUUUGACGGGUAGCCGGCCUGAGAGGGUGACCGGCCACAUUGGAACUGAGAUACGGCCCAGACUCCUACGGGAGGCAGCAGUGGGGAAUAUUGCACAAUGGGCGGAAGCCUGAUGCAGCAACGCCGCGUGCGGGAUGACGGCCUUCGGGUUGUAAACCGCUUUCGCCUGUGACGAAGCGUGAGUGACGGUAAUGGGUAAAGAAGCACCGGCUAACUACGUG
Molecule: ribosomal RNA, 468 nt
Filed under: uncultured bacterium
Lineage: Bacteria
Description: partial 16S ribosomal RNA
Rfam family: Bacterial small subunit ribosomal RNA
Source: RNAcentral